Molecule: ribosomal RNA, 253 nt
Filed under: uncultured bacterium
Lineage: Bacteria
Description: partial 16S ribosomal RNA
Rfam family: Bacterial small subunit ribosomal RNA
Source: RNAcentral
UACAGAGGGGGCAAGCGUUAUUCGGAAUUAUUGGGCGUAAAGGGCGCGUAGGCGGCUUGGCAAGUGGACGGUGAAAUCCCUCGGCUUAACCGAGGAACUGCCCUCCAAACUGCUUGGCUUGAGUCCGGGAGAGGUGAGUGGAAUUCCCAGUGUAGCGGUGAAAUGCGUAGAUAUUGGGAGGAACACCAGUGGCGAAGGCGGCUCACUGGACCGGUACUGACGCUGAUGCGCGAAAGCGUGGGGAGCAAACGGG